Molecule: long non-coding RNA, 305 nt
Filed under: Elaeis guineensis (African oil palm)
Lineage: Eukaryota; Viridiplantae; Streptophyta; Magnoliopsida; Arecales; Arecaceae
Description: long non-coding RNA (EGUI_LNC032137)
Source: RNAcentral
UUUCUUUCUCCUACUCAAGAGGUAAGGUAUCUCCUCCACGUGCUCUCUCCUCUCCUUUCUUCUCUUCCCAUCUAUAGAUCCGAUGCUCAUCGAACAUCAUGACAGGAGAACGAAUACCGGCCACCUGCACAAUGAAUCAAUUGCACACGUUAGCGGACGCCACGUGACAUGUCGAGAGGAGUGGAGCAGUGCGCACAAUCAGCACCAACUACACCAUCAACACACACAUCAGCAAUCUGACUUGGUGACACCACAAUGUUUGGAGGUGCUGGCAAUACCCCUAAGCUCCUCCAUUGAGUAUCGCU